RNAcentral lists this ribosomal RNA (225 nucleotides) under uncultured bacterium. Its description in RNAcentral is "partial 16S ribosomal RNA". It matches the Rfam family "Bacterial small subunit ribosomal RNA", at positions 92 to 334 of the family's 1533-position model. The record is from RNAcentral.
UUAGUGGCGGACGGGUGAGUAACACGUGGGAACGUGCCCUUUGGUUCGGAACAACUCAGGGAAACUUGAGCUAAUACCGAAUGUGCCCUUCGGGGGAAAGAUUUAUCGCCAUUGGAGCGGCCCGCGUCUGAUUAGCUAGUUGGUGAGGUAAAGGCUCACCAAGGCUACGAUCAGUAGCUGGUCUGAGAGGAUGAUCAGCCACAUUGGGACUGAGACACGGCCCAA